CGGAGAGUUUGAUCCUGGCUCAGAUUGAACGCUGGCGGCAUGCCUUACACAUGCAAGUCGAACGGCAGCACGGAGCUUGCUCUGGUGGCGAGUGGCGAACGGGUGAGUAAUAUAUCGGAACGUACCCUGGAGUGGGGGAUAACGUAGCGAAAGUUACGCUAAUACCGCAUACGAUCUACGGAUGAAAGUGGGGGAUCGCAAGACCUCAUGCUCGUGGAGCGGCCGAUAUCUGAUUAGCUAGUUGGUAGGGUAAAAGCCUACCAAGGCAUCGAUCAGUAGCUGGUCUGAGAGGACGACCAGCCACACUGGAACUGAGACACGGUCCAGACUCCUACGGGAGGCAGCAGUGGGGAAUUUUGGACAAUGGGCGAAAGCCUGAUCCAGCAAUGCCGCGUGAGUGAAGAAGGCCUUCGGGUUGUAAAGCUCUUUUGUCAGGGAAGAAACGGUGAGGGCUAAUAUCUCUUGCUAAUGACGGUACCUGAAGAAUAAGCACCGGCUAACUACGUGCCAGCAGCCGCGGGUAAUACGUAGGGUGCAAGCGUUAAUCGGAAUUACUGGGGCGUAAAGCGUGCGCAGGCGGUUUUGUAAGUCUGAUGUGAAAUCCCCGGGCUCAACCUGGGAAUUGGCAUUGGAGACUGCAAGGCU
RNAcentral lists this ribosomal RNA (645 nucleotides) under uncultured bacterium. RNAcentral's name for it is "bacterial SSU rRNA". It matches the Rfam family "Bacterial small subunit ribosomal RNA", at positions 1 to 642 of the family's 1533-position model. The record is from RNAcentral.